ACUCCCACCAGCUUGGAGACAACAUGUGGUUCUUGACAACUCUGCUCCUUUGGGUUCCAGUUGAUGGGCAAGUGGUAGACACCACAAAGGCAGUGAUCACUUUGCAGCCUCCAUGGGUCAGCGUGUUCCAAGAGGAAACCAUAACCUUGCACUGUGAGGUGCUCCAUCUGCCUGGGAGCAGCUCCACACAGUGGUUUCUCAAUGGCACAGCCACUCAGACCUCGACCCCCAGCUACAGAAUCACCUCUGCCAGUGUCAAUGACAGUGGUGAAUACAGGUGCCAGAGAGGUCUCUCAGGGCGAAGUGACCCCAUACAGCUGGAAAUCCACAGAGGCUGGCUACUACUGCAGGUCUCCAGCAGAGUCUUCAUGGAAGGAGAACCUCUGGCCUUGAGGUGUCAUGCGUGGAAGGAUAAGCUGGUGUACAAUGUGCUUUACUAUCGAAAUGGCAAAGCCUUUAAGUUUUUCCACUGGAAUUCUAACCUCACCAUUCUGAAAACCAACAUAAGUCACAAUGGCACCUACCAUUGCUCAGGCAUGGGAAAGCAUCGCUACACAUCAGCAGGAAUAUCACAAUACACUGUGAAAGAGCUAUUUCCAGCUCCAGUGCUGAAUGCAUCUGUGACAUCCCCACUCCUGGAGGGGAAUCUGGUCACCCUGAGCUGUGAAACAAAGUUGCUCUUGCAGAGGCCUGGUUUGUAGCUUUACUUCUCCUUCUACAUGGGCAGCAAGACCCUGCGAGGCAGGAACACAUCCUCUGAAUACCAAAUACUAACUGCUAGAAGAGAAGACUCUGGGUUAUACUGGUGCGAGGCUGCCACAGAGGAUGGAAAUGUCCUUAAGCACAGCCCUGAGUUGGAGCUUCAAGUGCUUGGCCUCCAGUUACCAACUCCUGUCUGGUUUCAUGUCCUUUUCUAUCUGGCAGUGGGAAUAAUGUUUUUAGUGAACACUGUUCUCUGGGUGACAAUACGUAAAGAACUGAAAAGAAAGAAAAAGUGGAAUUUAGAAAUCUCUUUGGAUUCUGGUCAUGAGAAGAAGGUAAUUUCCAGCCUUCAAGAAGACAGACAUUUAGAAGAAGAGCUGAAAUGUCAGGAACAAAAAGAAGAACAGCUGCAGGAAGGGGUGCACCGGAAGGAGCCCCAGGGGGCCACGUAGCAGCGGCUCAGUUGGUGGCCAUCGAUCUGGACCGUCCCCUGCCCACUUGCUCCCCGUGAGCACUGCGUACAAACAUCCAAAAGUUCAACAACACCAGAACUGUGUGUCUCAUGGUAUAUAACUCUUAAAGCAAAUAAAUGAACUGACUUCAACUG
This is a long non-coding RNA of Homo sapiens (human), 1309 nucleotides long. Ensembl annotates it as Fc gamma receptor Ib, pseudogene. Its record names the gene FCGR1BP. Lineage: Eukaryota; Metazoa; Chordata; Mammalia; Primates; Hominidae. The record is from Ensembl.